GGCAGCAGCCGCGGUAAUACCGGCGGCUCGAGUGGUGGCCACUUUAUGGGCUUAAAGCGUCGUAGCUGGGUUAUUAAGUCCCUGGGAAAUCCGACAGCUUAACUGUCGGGCGUCUAAGAGAUACUGGUAAUCUUGGAACCGGGAGAGGUGAGGGGUACUUCGGGGGUAGGAGUGAAAUCCUGUAAUCCUCGAGGGACCACCUGUGGCGAAGGCGCCUCACCAGAACGGCUUCGACAGUGAGGGACGAAAGCUGGGGAGCAAACCGGAUUAGAUACCCGGGUAGUCCCAGCCGUAAACGAUGUGCGUUAGGUGUAUCGGUGACCACGAGUCACCGAGGUGCCGAAGGGAAACCGUGAAACGUACCGCCUGGGAAGUACGGUCGCAAGGCUGAAACUUAAAGGAAUUGGCGGGGGAGCACCACAACAGGUGGAGCCUGCGGUUUUAAAUUGGACUCAACGCCGGAAAUCUCACCGGAUAAGACAGCAGAAUGAUUGCCGGGCUGAAGACUCUGCAUGACUAGCUGAGUAGUGGUGCAUGG
RNAcentral lists this ribosomal RNA (538 nucleotides) under uncultured archaeon. RNAcentral's name for it is "bacterial SSU rRNA". It matches the Rfam family "Archaeal small subunit ribosomal RNA", at positions 457 to 997 of the family's 1478-position model. The record is from RNAcentral.